GGUGACUCAGUGGUCGAGUGCCUGCCUUGCAUGCAUGAGGCCCUGGGUUCAAUUCCUCAGCACCA
RNAcentral lists this transfer RNA (65 nucleotides) under Dipodomys ordii (Ord's kangaroo rat). It matches the Rfam family "tRNA". Rfam says of the family: Transfer RNA (tRNA) molecules are approximately 80 nucleotides in length. Lineage: Eukaryota; Metazoa; Chordata; Mammalia; Rodentia; Heteromyidae. The record is from Rfam by way of RNAcentral.